Agrilus planipennis (emerald ash borer) is the source of this 73-nucleotide non-coding RNA. The record is from Rfam. NCBI's taxonomy places the organism in Eukaryota, Metazoa, Arthropoda, Insecta, Coleoptera, Buprestidae.
UCUCUCGUAGCUUAGUGGUCAGAGCAUUGGCGUGUAAAGCCAAAGAGCCCGGGUUCGAUUCCCGGCGGGGGUA